UGUUGCAGUCUUACAAAAUGAUGCUUCAUGUGUUUAAGAUCUCUUCCAUCUCUAAUCCAUUCCAAACUGCCCUGCAGGCUCCAUCUGAGAUUGAGAUUUGGCUGGCACAGCCUCGCUGGUGGGAGCUACCUAAGGAGCGGCCCUAUUACAGUGGUUUCUCUGGUGCUCAGUGCCCAGGCUCUGGAGGAACCCAGAGCCAGCAUCCCACCUGGGAGGCUUUGAUCAUUUCUUCUGUAGCUUCAAGCAUAGUGAACCCCUCUCUGUGAAGGAAAAGCUGUCAGGCAUUCGAGGCAGAGCCGGCUGUGAUGGCAAAACGUGACCCUCAAUCCACUGCAAGUCUGGUAAAAAUCAUGGCAUUUCUAUACUAUUCGCAACAAAUGCUGUUCUCCCCGCUCUUCCUGCUUUCUC
Molecule: long non-coding RNA, 408 nt
Filed under: Anser brachyrhynchus (Pink-footed goose)
Lineage: Eukaryota; Metazoa; Chordata; Aves; Anseriformes; Anatidae
Description: lncRNA (ENSABRG00000019038.1)
Source: RNAcentral